GAUGUGCUCACAAACUGAAAAUACAAAAGUUGAGUGUCACAGAAAUCUCAGACACCGAGAGGAUUACAUGCAUUCAUAAGUUUUAAACAUGUUUAUACAAACAUUAUGAUGUAUAUCAGUUGCUAGCUCAGGCUGAUAUUCUUUUAGAAGCUCAAAAACCCUCCCAGGAAAAGCACAUGAUAAUUUUAAUAGCAGCAGAAGUUCUCU
This 207-nucleotide unclassified non-coding RNA is filed under the name Hevea brasiliensis (rubber tree). Lineage: Eukaryota; Viridiplantae; Streptophyta; Magnoliopsida; Malpighiales; Euphorbiaceae. The record is from RNAcentral.